UUGGACAUCAUCAUCAUGGAGCUGUCGCUCAGGGACGCUCCGACGCUAUUGGGCAACGAGACGCUCUGCGGAAGGGGCCUAACCACAGUGGAGUUGUGCGGCCUGUUGCUAGACUGCUGUAACUGAUAUGAAAAAUCAGACAUGGCUCCAAAGCUCCGAAGCAAAAGGCCCUACAAAAGAUUUUCCUGCUACAUCAAUGCCGUUGACCUCGAGGAUCUCGUCAUUAACUCCCAGCAGCCCCGUGCUUUCUGCUAGCCCACCACGUACCAGACGAGAUAUGAAAACCCCGGGGACCUACAG
Molecule: long non-coding RNA, 300 nt
Organism: Sebastes umbrosus (honeycomb rockfish)
Lineage: Eukaryota; Metazoa; Chordata; Actinopteri; Perciformes; Sebastidae
Exons: 3
Source: RefSeq, a predicted model, not a curated record